CAGGGCCAGAUGUCCCAAGUGCAUUAUGUGUUGAUCGUGGGGUGCCACAGUGUGUGUUGUGUGUGCACGCAUGCAUACACGUGGAUCUCUCUCCAGGAACACAGCCAGGCCACAGUCUCAUUCAAUCUCCUCUUUACUGUGGAUGUCACUGUCACCAUCACAGCCACCGGGAGGAGCACACAGCUUUGACACCCUGUUGCUAAGGGGAAGGGUCGGGGGCAUUCAGAGUUAUAAAACUAGCUAUAUACAUAGAGUGUCCUAGGGAGAAAGCCACCCUGAGCACACAUGUUCGGGCACAGUGGAGGUUGAGGUCUGGAAUUCAGGCAAGACCGAACAGGUGUGUGGCAGGCAGGUGGGCGUGUGCACACGAGGACAUGCUGGGGAAGGGCUCAGAAGGUGGCAUAAACAUCACCAAGGCUGCCUGCAGGGCCUCAAGUACAGGGUCUUCCCAGGUUCCUCCACCUUAGGGUUGGGCCCCUGGUGAGAACCCCCACUUCCCCUACCUCCACCUCCAUCCAACCUUGACCUUACAGCCUCAAGUGGAGGGAGAGGCUGCAGGACCAGUUCCCCAAUCAGGGGUUAAGGGUACAACCCCUUUCCUCACCACUCCCUAGAUCUGGGGGGCACUGGGCCCCUCCUAACGCUAACAACGGAUGAGGGCCUGUACAGGCUGGGGCAUAAGGCAGGGCAAGGGCACCCACUCGGAAGGCCAGGGCUGUGGGGGGCAGUGAGGAGGACGCAGGACCCCUGGCAGAAAAGUGAUAGCCUGGUCUCAGAAAGGACUGCCAUGGGAAAGUGUCUCUGGGACACCCCAUCAAGGUGAAGCCAUUCCCAACCCCUAGGCAUUGCCCACAGAGACUGGACACCAGGGAGGCUACCUAGGGUCUCCACAGAGACAGAUUGGCACUUAGAGACCACAACAGACUGGUCACUGCAGUGAUUUCCAUAGAGACAGAACCUGGUCAUCAGGGAGACCCCACCUCCUGCCUCCUCCCAGGGGGAUGGGAAGGGUCACCAUGGUGGCCUGACCCAGAGACAG
Molecule: long non-coding RNA, 1039 nt
Organism: Galeopterus variegatus (Sunda flying lemur)
Lineage: Eukaryota; Metazoa; Chordata; Mammalia; Dermoptera; Cynocephalidae
Exons: 2
Source: RefSeq, a predicted model, not a curated record